Molecule: long non-coding RNA, 3500 nt
Organism: Alligator mississippiensis (American alligator)
Lineage: Eukaryota; Metazoa; Chordata; Crocodylia; Alligatoridae
Exons: 5
Source: RefSeq, a predicted model, not a curated record
CCUCUGGCCAAUCAGCGCGGGGGAUGGGUUUGGCGGGAGCAGCUCGUAAGGAGCCGUUGCAGCCGCCUGUUGCGAGGUGGGGAUUCUUCUCUUGCUCGUAGUGGUCUUCAGAUGGGGCCACAGGACACAACCUGCAAAAGACCUACGACUAUACUGGCAGAACUGAAAUGACCUCCAAAUGGCCAGUGGUCUGCUCCUUAAUGAAAGAUGAACUGUAACCCCUCAGGAGCUUCAGGAAGAAAUGCUUUUGAAGAUUCACGAAGGACACCAGGGUAUAAACAAAUGCAGGACAAGAGCACAACAAUCUAUUCGGUGGCCUGCCCUGAGGAAGCAAAUUCAGAUUUUAGUAGAAGGUUAGGAGGAAUGCAUGCAACAAAGAAAAAAUACUAUCUCCAGAGCCAUUACUUUCUACAAAAAUGCCAGAUAGAUCUUGGCAGCAGGUUUCAUAGUUUCAUAGUUGGUAGGGUUGGAAGGGGCCUGAGCAGAUCAUCAAGUCCAACGACCUGCCAUGGGCAGGAAAGAAUGCUGGAGUCAAACGACCCUGGCAAGGUGUCUAUCUAGCCUCCUUUUGAAGACCCCCAGGGUAGGAGCAAGCACCACUUCCCUUGGAAGUUGGUUCUAGAUCCUAGCCGCCCUGACUGUGAAGUAGUGCCUCCUGAUAUCUAGCCUGAAUCUACUCUCCAUCAACUUAUGGCCAUUAUUCCUUGUUACUCCCAGCAGUGCUCAGGGGAACAGGGAUUCUCCCAUUGCCUGCUGGUCUCCCUUGGACAGUUUAUAGAUGGCCACCAGAUCCCCUCUCAGCCUUCUCUUGUGGAGGCUGAACAGGUUCAGGUCUUGUAGCUGCAUGUCAUAGGGCCGUCCCUGCUGCCCCCUGAUCAUGCAAGUGGCCCUCCUCUGGACCCUCUCUAUGUUGUCCACAUCCCUCCUGAAAUGCAGUGCCCAGAACUGGAUGCAGUACUCCAACCGCGGCCUGACCAAUGUCAUAUAGAGGGGGAGGAUCACCUCCUUGGACCUGCUUGUGAUGCAUCUGUAGAUGCAUGACAAGGUGCAGUUAGCCUUGCUGACUGCAUCCUCACAUUGGCAGCCCAUGUUCAUCUUGGAGUUGAUAAUGACGACUCUGUGCUGACAAGAAGGGAGUUCCCCAGCCUGUAGGUAUGGUGCUGGUUCUUUCUCCCUAGGUGCAGUACCCUGCACUUGUUAGUAUUGAAUCCCAUCUUAUUCUCAGCUGCCCACCCCUGUAACCUGUCCAGAUCCAAUUGCAGCCUGUCCCUCCCUUCUGGCGUGCCUACUUCUCCCCACAUCUUAGUGUCAUCUGCAAAGUUGAACAAGGUGCUUUUCAUCCCGUCAUCCAAGUCGCUGAUGAAGAUGUUGAACAGUGCAGGCCCAAGGACCGAGUCCUGGGGGACCCCACUGCCCACAUCCCUCCAGGUCGAAAAUGACCCGUCCACCACCACUCUCUGGGUGCGACCCUCCAGCCAACUGGCGACCCAUCUGACUGUGUAGGCAUCAACAUCACAAUCUCCUAAUUUUUUAACAAGAAUGGGGUGAGAGACAGUGUCGAAGGCCUUCCUAAAGUCCAGAAAGACUACAUCCACUGCUACACCUGCAUCUAAGGAUUUUGUGACCUCGUCAUAGAAGGCCACCAGGUUGGUCUGACAGGACCUACCUCUAAUGAACCCAUGUUGGUUGCCCCUAAGCAUACACUCCCCUGCUUGCCCCUUGCAGAUGUGCACCUGGAUAAUUUUCUCAAAGAGCUUCCCCAGGACCAAGUUUAAAGCCCGACGGAGAAGAUCAGCCAACCUGAAAGAGAGCGCAUGCUUACCUUUGGGGGAGAAGUGAAGCCCAUCCCACCCAAGCACGUCUCUUGUCUUGAAGUAUGGGUCAUGGUCCAAGAAGCCGAAGCCUGCCUCAAGACACCAUUCUCAAAGGCUCAAGUUGACCUCUCUGAUGCAGGUCUCAUGGCGUCAUCCACGUCCGCUCACUGGAAGGACAGAUGAGAAGACCACCUGUGCCCCUGUCUCCUUCAGCUGCCCCAAAGCAGAAGUCUGACCAUGAAGCAGGAGCUUAGCCAGUAUCCCCAGGACACUCCAACUACCCAGACCCUUUGUUUUCCUUAUCACAAAUCGGCAGUUAUGACAGAAAGGAGAGUGGAAGAAAGAAAAGGAAAAAAAAAAGAAGACAGAAAACUCAGGAGGAAGAGGAAGACAAACUAGAACCCAGGAGAGGCAUAAGAAAAAGGAUUUUCCUACCAGUUAUGCUUGUGACUCUCUCUUGAUUUGCACAACUACAAGAAUGCUUUGAAGAUGCUGAGCUGAAGGGUAGAAGAGGGGAAUGAAACUACUAACAGACAUGCUUCAAGAGUAAGGAAUCUCUCUGACAUGAACUGCUACUGUGCCAAGCUGUCUCAAGAAGCUGAAAAAGAAACAGACUGCCUCUGUCGCCUGUUUGGUGAGAAAUUAUCCCCUUAUAGCUAAAUACUGGACUUUGCUUUGGUUUGGGCUCAUUUAACCUUGAAUACUUUUAGUAAAAAAGCCUAUCUGUCAUUUAUCGAAAGAGAUGUCAUAUCAAUCCUUUAAUAUUAGUCUGGGAUCCCAUUUUAUUACUUAACAGGUGCAAGCAGAGGAAGAGUUGACAGUAGCAGUGGUUCUGGCAUGGUGACAUCCUCCAGCCAUUUCUUUGGGUCUCUUAAUCCAGUGGUUGCCAACCUUUUUUGUUCUGAAGACCAGCAUUGGAGUGGGACCGGGCACACGGAGCUGGCUGCCUCCCUCCUGGGGCUGCCCUAGUGCCUAGCACAUGACUGCCACUCACCUGGAAGCUGCUCACCCAGGUGGACAGAUGGGGGGUCUGCACGGUGGGUUCCUGCCACAACCCAGUAGCCAACUCUUCAAGGUCUGGUACUGGGCAACAGCCCAGUGGUUGGGAAUCUCUGUCUUAAUUCACUGCCUUUCUCUUCCUGUCCUUCUUCUAAGUAGACCUUCCCUAACAAACUUGUCUUUAAGCUGGCCUCUUCCCUGCAUCUUGGCCCAGAAAGGUUCCUUUUUCUCUGUUUCCUCUUACUAAGCUUACAGCAAAAGAAGGUGCUUCUGUAAUGGGGGUCCAAUGAUAAUCAAAAAAGAAAUCACAGUCCGUCUGAUUUAUGGGUGGAUGUGCAGAUCUGAAACCUGGAAUUAGGAUGGCAUUAACUAUGUAAAUUAUUUUUGGGCCUAUUGAGCUGAGACAGAAGAAAAAGUCAAGUAAGAAAAACUUAGUAAAUUGUAAGUUUAAUUGAUUAUGAGCACCUGACACAGGGCAGCUUCUUGGGAACAGGAGGCAAUACCAUGCAGUAGAUAAAUAGGAAGGCUUGUUUUGUUUUCCAUGUUCAGCCAGACAUUUGAUUCACCUGAACAUCAUGUUUCCACUCAAGAAGCAGUACCAAACCCCACCCCCCAAACAACUAAUAGUAGUAAUAAUAUGGUGCAGAAAUUCUCAAAUCCCUGGUGGAAUAGGGAUAAUCUGCUUCC